Molecule: long non-coding RNA, 5541 nt
Organism: Neoarius graeffei (lesser salmon catfish)
Lineage: Eukaryota; Metazoa; Chordata; Actinopteri; Siluriformes; Ariidae
Exons: 3
Source: RefSeq, a predicted model, not a curated record
UACUACUCAACCGGCCAGUUUGUAUAGUCAAGAGAGGACAGAACAAACUGAAACGCCAAUGAACGGUGAAGCGUUGAAAGAUUUGUAGCUCUACCUUUCUGUUUUGACCAACAAGAAAAAGGUGGCCGCCAGGUGCACGGGAGGAGGGAGGGCACCAGAAGCCCUUACCGUGGCCGAGGAGUUGGCGCUCGCCAACAAUAGCGGUAGGCCAAUCAUGGAGGGGGUAGAAGGAGGCCUACAAUCCACCCCUGGUGCUGUGGAAAUGUCGACCCUCUGCGUGCGGGGUAAUAUGGCAUUCAAGUUCCAUGUAAGAAGUGUGUUUUCUCGUUCAUCAGUGGCAUGUCUUGUGUUGUGUGUACAGUUGAAGGAAGCAAUCUGGAGACCAUCCAGCCACCACAGCCCAUACCCGGCUCCAGUGAUCCUCCGGCCGAGGAGGAGGAUGACGAGACCCUCACGGCCAAAUCCGACACCCACAUGCAGGUUGAAAGACUCUACCACUGCUACUAUAUGCUGUCUCAAUAUUCUAGGAGGGUGCCCCAUUACUCUUCAGCAGUACUGCAUUUGAAGUGUGACUUGUAUCAAUGAUGCAAUCAGUCUGUGUGCUUGUGUUCCUUUGUAGAAGGAGUUGGAGCUGCCCCUGUCCCCUCCUGAGGCUUCCCUGCCAGGGACAUCACAAUGUCACAAAGUACAGUUUCUUCCUCUUCGGUCCAUCAUUGCUGACUGUUAUGCAUACUAGGCUAAUAUGUUCAUUCUGGGGUGGGGGUUCUGUAGGCCGGAGUGGACAAUGUGCGCAGCCUGUACAAGAAAAUGUUACGGCUAGACUGCAAAAAAAAAAGAGGCUGCAAAUUCGGAAGCUCGAACUAGAAAUUGAAAAGUUGGAGCAUGAGAAGAAGGUAUUAGUACAUUUUGUGUGUGUGUGUGUGUGUGUGUGUGCGCGCGCGCGUGCAAGCAAGCAUUCAUUCAUUCAUUUGGCUUUUCUUUAUUUUGUGUUACUGCCUGAAAAAUUGGUUUGUGAUGGCCUCUCUCACUGAACGGCCUGUGGGAUGGUCCAGGGUCAUGGGGUCAACAACAUCAGGGGGUGAGGGAACAUGAUUGGGAACCCUUUCUUUUCUAAUGGUGGCUAUGUUAUGUAGUACCACACAUGCCACUGUUAUUUGACAGGCCUUCUCUGGCCUCACACGCAGGCCUUUUAGGCAGGCAAACCGAGCCUUCAAUAUGCCGAACGUGAUCGCGAUUCGUGCUCUUGUAACACUGUGGGCAUGACUGAAGGCUCUCUGGGCCCUUGUUUGAGGGUCUGCGAAUGAUGUCAGGAGGUGUUUCAAACAUGGGUAUCCACGGUCCCCGAGCAGGAUACCAUCAAAUCGCCCUUGUAUGAAAUGGAGAGAAAUGUAGUUAGUGUCAAACAACUGUAAGAUGCUCACUAUUCUUUACUUAAGGAAUACCAUGAAGUUUGAGUAGGGACGUCUGUGGUAUUUUAGCUCGUUUCUGUAUUGUCCCGAUAUCUUUUUGAUGCAGGAUGAUUUGUGUUUUAAGGAUUAGAUGUAGGAUUAUCUUACUUUCCUCGAAUCCCGCAGCUAGUGAGGAUUCUCUAAAUAUGCGGGAAUCGUGGACAGACCCUGGCCAUCUUGCAUCCAGGCUAGUUAUCAUCAACUGGUGGUCACAUGUCAUCUAAGAACAUCAAGCAUUUGUGCAAGGAUAGGGGACAUGACUGAGGUACAAGCACACUGUUACCCCUGCAAAUGAGGAACACCACCAACCCAUGUGGAGGACAAAACAUCACCUAACACAAAAUGGGACCAGUACUGACAGGUUGAUUUGAGGUAUGGACAUGACCUAUUUGAAUGUGGGCCUAUAUGAAGUAGACCUUUUACCUGUACGUUGAUGCUAUGGAAGGAUUUUCUAUUCACAUAAUCCCCCUCAUGCUCUCCCAGGGGUGCACUGAUUUGGAUGUGAGUGCAGUCAAUGGCUCCUAUUACUCUUGAGAAACCUGUAUAUUUUGUUAGUCAUAUCAAUUGUCAGUCACAAUUGUCUCUAUGAGAGUAGGCAAACAGACACAAUUUGAUAUUAGUAAUUACCUGCGAUUGCAUAAAACCCUUCUUUGAUCUGAAGUGCGGUUAAAUGCCCAGGGAACACAACAAAUGCAUUCAUCAGUUUGGUUAGGGCAAGUACCACUUUACGAAUCAUACGACAUAUGCCGCUUUUCCACUACCAACGUGGCCGAGUUGGGCUGAGUCGAGCUGAGUGGGGCUGUUGGAGUUGCAUUUCGACUACAACCGCACUGAACCGUGUUGGCUGGAAGUGGGUGGACACAUUGGGUGGACGUCACGUGAUGUCAUUAGGCGGCGCAAACAGUGACAUCAGUGACCUUUUAAGCGGUAGUCUCACAACCCGGAUAGUAAACAAUAAACAUGGAGGACAUGGAGUCGUUAGUGUUGCUGGUCUUGGUGCUGUGGCUUGUUGUCACCGACAACGCCAACAGAUACUGGCAAGAGCGUAUAGAUGAGGCGAGGCACAUAAGGCUUCAGAAAUUCUCAUAAUUCUUCUUCUUCCAGGUUUACGGUGUUUACAGAUCCCAGCGUGCUCGCGGGGCGUGUGGGCAUGUGAGGACACUCCUCCUCACCAAUCAGUGCACAGGGGAGUGUCUCCUCACACCCCUAGCCCCACUCGGCUCGGUUUGGCUCGCUUCAGCCCUACUCCAAAACCGUGCGAGUUUUGGGUGCUGAGUAGGGCUGAAGCGAGCCGAGUCGUGCUGCUCGGAGGUAGUCGAAAUGCGAGCCAUGUCGGGCUGAAGUGAGCUGAAAAAGGGUAGUGGAAAAGGGCCAAUACAGUGUUCUUACUGAGGUUUUCAGCAUCACCGAUGGAAUACAUAUAUUAUCCACUGGCAAAGUAACGCCAUGACAAGCACAUAAUUUGCUCGAUUGUGAGGGCCUGGCUUCGGCGGGUUACAUUGCAGACGUCUGCCUCGAUCAGCUGGCAAAGGUAACGAAUUCUCUCAGCUGAGAAUCUAUAUUGUUCAUGAAGAACAUCGUCCGGGUAUGCCAGCGGAUUCUGGCGGUCUCUAAAUACCCUUGCCCUCCGGACAGAGCCCCUCACAAUCUGCACUCCGAUAUUGCACGGGUCAUCCAGGUACGCUGGCAUCGUCUCUAGAGGAAAUGUCGGUGGAGAGGUGGUGUUUAAAAAGGGUGUGGUUAAUCAGAAACCUUGGGUUAACCAAGAACAACCUGAGACGAGCAGGUUUGAGAUGCAGCGUAAAUUGCCAUGGCAGCAUACCUCGGUUUGAACAUAGCCAACUUUCGUAGUAUGGGUUAAUCGGGAAGAUACGCUGCACGUGAUCAAGUUACUCUCGAAGUUACCCUGGUAAGCCAGAAAACCCGCUUCGUAGUACAGGGCCCUGGUCACAUCCUUAUUCACAACAAAAAGAACCCAACACAACAUAGCUCCUUAAUGAGCAAGCUUGGCAAGGAACCCUCCCUGAAAUAUGUAGAAGAAACUUUGAGAUGAAUGGAGUCAAAAGGGAAUCCAUCCUCUUUUGGGGGACACCAGAUAGUGAGAUCAUUUAACAAUUACUUGCCGAAGGCAAAGUGAAUAUCGGUGAAUAAUAACCAAGACCAAGUCAAUACACAGGUGAUUAUUUAAAAAAACAAACAAAAACAUUAAAAAGAAUAAUUUACUUCCCAAGCCGCAUGCAAAAUGUAAUAAGUGAGGUGCAGACUUAUCACUUAUCUAUGCAACUCACAUAAAACACUUUGCUUUGAAACAGAUAAGUCACAAUUCCACCUUACCUCUGAAUAGUUUUAGACCAAACUUCGUAGCAUCUUUAGUGAUUUUAGGAACAGAAUUUUUUCAUAAUGUGUCAUGUUGCUCGAGGUGAUUAUUGCGAAACAGUCCGAAUUUCUCGACCAAUCAUUGCGUGCAAUUUCCUAUAAUCACCUCCAUAUUUAUACUAAAAUCAUUACUCUUAUACAACUAUAUAAUAUUAAGCCAAACAGUAUUGUAAUACUUAAAAUUGUGUUGCUUCAAUACCAGUAUCACACAGCCACAGUUUGUAGAUACAAGUCUGAAGUAUGCAGGUGAGAAUAUCCACUGAAGGGCUUGACUUGGGCAUAAACUCUUUCUGGGAAGUGAAAAUCUUUAGGGUAUCCAUGUGGGACCAUCCGCAGCAAUCUUUGGGGUGUUAAACAUCUUCAUAAAAUCAUAAAGACCAAUCAACAUAUUAAGAACAACAGGGUUGUAAGAACAACAGGGUUGAAUUUGCUUAUAUUUUCUGUGGACUGGACACAGCUUACCACUUUGUGUUGUGUAGCACAACGUGAAUUGCAGUCUGCUUUCUGGCACCUUGCACAGAGAGAUGAUUCUGACCUGGUUGAUGAAUAGAAGAGACCUUGCUUCUAAAUUAGUAGAGUGGAAGUUUCUGAGUCACAUGUUGAAUAAAGACAAUUCAAAUGGAAAUCACAAACCUGUGCCGAGCAGAAAAACACCAGAUUCUCUCACUUUAUCCCUUUCAUCAGUCACACAGCUAUGAAUCCCAUAUAUUAAGGGUAGGCACACUGGUGACUCAUGCAAAAUGGAAGAUUUGUCUAACAGCAUUGCAAUUUAGAAUUGGUGUGGCUUUGUUGUGCUGGCGUCCCAAAUUGUUAAACGCAAGGACCAAGAUCUCAGGAACUACAGUGGACUGGCAUUCCAGUCAGGGUAUAUUCCUGCUUUGUCCCUACUGUGUCAAGAUGAACUCUGAAUCCACUGUGACCCUGACCAAGUUACUUUGGUCACAAGUUGAUAUGAGAUUAGGUUGAUAGUAAAUCAUUAGAUUAAUAACUGGGGAGCAAAAACAUGAAGAAAACAAUACCAUUAAUGACAAAAUAAGUAACUUUCUCGUUGCACUUUUACUGUGACAAGUGGUGAAUCAUUAAAAAAAACACAGUUUUAAAUUAAUACCUAGCUCCUGUGGAAAUUAAGGUUACUUGUUCACAUCAGAAAUGAGACCAAGUUGGUUGAUCCAUUUAUUAACAAAUAAGAGGUAGCUGUGGCAUGUGUCACACUGAUACUCGCUGGUUAUCAUCCAACAGAACAUUUUAUGUAAUGAAUGGUAUUUAGCAACUAAAUCUUACUGUACAUUUGCUUGUUUUAUUUCUUUUUCGAUAUUAAACUCACAAUCUACUUUUUUUCAAUAAUCUCACAUAAGAAUCACAGAGACACAACACUGGUCUUGGAUGACUUUAUUGUAUAAAUACAGGUAUUGCUAGCAUUCUGUCCAGCAAACCUCUCAAUGGGAAUAAUGUAAAUUCAAUAAAGCUUUUACAGAAAACACAGAAGGCCCACAAUGAUUGCAUUUUCAAAGAAAACUCCUUUGGCCCAUGUCUAUAAAGGAUUUCAGCACUUAAGAAGAAAGGAAAAUAAAAGAACACUUGGUAUUAAGACAUAUAUCGAAUUCCAAAUUCAAUAUGAGGAAUGAUAAAAUGAGGAUGUAUUUACUUUGAAUUCUGUGAAAACUAAUGAUAAAACUAUAUACACCUCUUAAAAUAGCAGGGUUUGUGAUGUUUAAAA